GUAGCAUAAUCAAUAGUCUUUUAAUUGGAGACUGGAAUGAACGGCUAGAUAAAAAGUUUACUGUCUAUAUAAUAAAUCUUGAAUUUUACUUUUAAGUGAAAAGGCUUAAAUAUAUUAAAGUGACGAUAAGACCCUAUAAAACUUUAUAAUAAAUUAUGAUUAUCUUAAAUUUAAAAUCAAAAUAUAUUUCAUAUAUUACUAUUUAGUUGGGGCGACUGAGAUAUAAAAAAUCUGUCUUUAGUAAAAAAUACUUAUAAUUAGAUCAAGAUCCUUUAUUAAGGAUUAAAAGGCUAAGUUACUUUAGGGAUAACAGCGUGAUUUUUCUUAAGAGUUCUUAUCGACAGAAUAAGUUGCGACCUCGAUGUUGAAUUAAAUUUUCUUUUAGGUGCAGGAGUUUAAAAAGUAGGUCUGUUCGACCUUUAAAAAUUU
Molecule: ribosomal RNA, 429 nt
Filed under: Latreutes fucorum
Lineage: Eukaryota; Metazoa; Arthropoda; Malacostraca; Decapoda; Hippolytidae
Description: partial 16S ribosomal RNA
Rfam family: Bacterial large subunit ribosomal RNA
Source: RNAcentral